GAUGAACGCUGGCGGCGUGCCUAAUACAUGCAAGUCGAGCGAACGGACGAGAAGCUUGCUUCUCUGAUGUUAGCGGCGGACGGGUGAGUAACACGUGGAUAACCUACCUAUAAGACUGGGAUAACUUCGGGGAACCGGAGCUAAUACCGGAUAAUAUUUUGAACCGCAUGGUUCAAAAGUGAAAGACGGUCUUGCUGUCACUUAUAGAUGGAUCCGCGCUGCAUUAGCUAGUUGGUAAGGUAACGGCUUACCAAGGCAACGAUGCAUAGCCGACCUGAGAGGGUGAUCGGCCACACUGGAACUGAGGCACGGUCCAGACUCCUACGGGAGGCAGCAGUAGGGAAUCUUCCGCAAUGGGCGAAAGCCUGACGGAGCAACGCCGCGUGAGUGAUGAAGGUCUUCGGAUCGUAAAACUCUGUUAUUAGGGAAGAACAUAUGUGUAAGUAACUGUGCACAUCUUGACGGUACCUAAUCAGAAAGCCACGGCUAACUACGUG
This 497-nucleotide ribosomal RNA is filed under the name uncultured bacterium. RNAcentral describes it as "partial 16S ribosomal RNA". It matches the Rfam family "Bacterial small subunit ribosomal RNA", at positions 28 to 507 of the family's 1533-position model. The record is from RNAcentral.